UUUGAUUCUGCUCAGGACGAACGCUGGCGGCGUGCCUAAUACAUGCAAGUCGAGCGGACCGACGGGAGCUUGCUCCCUUAGGUCAGCGGCGGACGGGUGAGUAACACGUGGGUAACCUGCCUGUAAGACUGGGAUAACUCCGGGAAACCGGGGCUAAUACCGGAUGCUUGAUUGAACCGCAUGGUUCAAUCAUAAAAGGUGGCUUUUAGCUACCACUUACAGAUGGACCCGCGGCGCAUUAGCUAGUUGGUGAGGUAACGGCUCACCAAGGCGACGAUGCGUAGCCGACCUGAGAGGGUGAUCGGCCACACUGGGACUGAGACACGGCCCAGACUCCUACGGGAGGCAGCAGUAGGGAAUCUUCCGCAAUGGACGAAAGUCUGACGGAGCAACGCCGCGUGAGUGAUGAAGGUUUUCGGAUCGUAAAACUCUGUUGUUAGGGAAGAACAAGUACCGUUCGAAUAGGGCGGCACCUUGACGGUACCUAACCAGAAAGCCACGGCUAACUACGUGCCAGCAGCCGCGGUAAUACGUAGGUGGCAAGCGUUGUCCGGAAUUAUUGGGCGUAAAGCGCGCGCAGGCGGUUUCUUAAGUCUGAUGUGAAAGCCCCCGGCUCAACCGGGGAGGGUCAUUGGAAACUGGGGAACUUGAGUGCAGAAGAGGAGAGUGGAAUUCCACGUGUAGCGGUGAAAUGCGUAGAGAUGUGGAGGAACACCAGUGGCGAAGGCGACUCUCUGGUCUGUAAACUGACGCUGAGGCGCGAAAGCGUGGGGAGCGAACAGGAUUAGAUACCCUGGUAGUCCACGCCGUAAACGAUGAGUGCUAAGUGUUAGAGGGUUUCCGCCCUUUAGUGCUGCAGCAAACGCAUUAAGCACUCCGCCUGGGGAGUACGGUCGCAAGACUGAAACUCAAAGGAAUUGACGGGGGCCCGCACAAGCGGUGGAGCAUGUGGUUUAAUUCGAAGCAACGCGAAGAACCUUACCAGGUCUUGACAUCCUCUGACAACCCUAGAGAUAGGGCUUCCCCUUCGGGGGCAGAGUGACAGGUGGUGCAUGGUUGUCGUCAGCUCGUGUCGUGAGAUGUUGGGUUAAGUCCCGCAACGAGCGCAACCCUUGAUCUUAGUUGCCAGCAUUCAGUUGGGCACUCUAAGGUGACUGCCGGUGACAAACCGGAGGAAGGUGGGGAUGACGUCAAAUCAUCAUGCCCCUUAUGACCUGGGCUACACACGUGCUACAAUGGGCAGAACAAAGGGCAGCGAAGCCGCGAGGCUAAGCCAAUCCCACAAAUCUGUUCUCAGUUCGGAUCGCAGUCUGCAACUCGACUGCGUGAAGCUGGAAUCGCUAGUAAUCGCGGAUCAGCAUGCCGCGGGUGAAUACGUUCCCGGGCCUUGUACACACCGCCCGUCACACCACGAGAGUUUGUAACACCCGAAGUCGGUGAGGUAACCUUUUGGAGCCAGCCGCCGAAGGUGGGACAGAUGAUUGGGGUGA
This 1490-nucleotide ribosomal RNA is filed under the name Bacillus licheniformis. RNAcentral describes it as "bacterial SSU rRNA". It matches the Rfam family "Bacterial small subunit ribosomal RNA". Lineage: Bacteria; Bacillati; Bacillota; Bacilli; Caryophanales; Bacillaceae. The record is from RNAcentral.